Molecule: long non-coding RNA, 491 nt
Filed under: Rattus norvegicus (Norway rat)
Lineage: Eukaryota; Metazoa; Chordata; Mammalia; Rodentia; Muridae
Description: long non-coding RNA NONRATT004320
Source: RNAcentral
AUGCGGCCAGAAUGGUGACCCAGACGAUGAUAGAACUGUGGUGGAGAAACACAGGUGGAUGAGGAACCUGCCUACUCACCCAGUUCCAGCCAGUCUCCCUGGGAAGGCAGCCAUCCUUUUGCCUCUUCUCUAUUGUCACCCACUUCCUAGCACCACAAGAAGUACCAGCAUAUCCACCAGAAGUCGUUUUGCUGCCCUGAGCCGGCUUGUGGGAAGUCCUUCAACUUUAAAAAGCACCUGAAGGAGCAUGUGAAACUACACAGCGGUGCGUGGUGGGAUGCCCCUCCAGCCACCCUGGGGAGGACCCAAAUCCUUUGGUCCCUGUGCACCUUAAAAGUCCUUGCCUGCCUGAGGUUGUUACUAGGUUCUUGGUAGCCUGACCUUAGUGAAAUGCCUACUCCAUGUAGGGGCCAUGAAGAGAUGGGAAAGCAGGGGAGAGUGGAGAGCAGGAAGGACAACUUGCUUAUGUGGUUAAAAAAAAAAAAAAAAAA